AGAAGCAAGACCGUGAGGUGGAGCAAAACUCAAAAACUUAGUCUCAGUUCGGAUUGUAGGCUGAAACUCGCCUACAUGAAGCUGGAGUUGCUAGUAAUCGCGAAUCAGCAUGUCGCGGUGAAUACGUUCCCGGGCCUUGUACACACCGCCCGUCACACCAUGAGAGUUGGCAACACCCGAAACCUGUGGGCUAACCGAAAGGAGGCAGCAGUCUAAGGUGGGGUCAGUGAUUGGGGUGAAGUCGUAACAAGGUAAC
RNAcentral lists this ribosomal RNA (256 nucleotides) under uncultured bacterium. RNAcentral's name for it is "partial 16S ribosomal RNA". It matches the Rfam family "Bacterial small subunit ribosomal RNA", at positions 1245 to 1500 of the family's 1533-position model. The record is from RNAcentral.